Molecule: long non-coding RNA, 270 nt
Filed under: Panax ginseng (ginseng)
Lineage: Eukaryota; Viridiplantae; Streptophyta; Magnoliopsida; Apiales; Araliaceae
Description: long non-coding RNA (PGIN_LNC009239)
Source: RNAcentral
UUUUUAACCACCGGGUAUUCCAACAGUGUAAACGGUAACAACUACGCCGUUAUUUUUAAAUAACUUAUAUUUGUCGUUUUCCUCCUCCAAUCGCUUUCCGUUAUGGGGCCCACACAUGGCUGCGCCGUCGUACGAAUAUUCCCCGACAACAAUGAAUAUUUUAUAACCACUUGCUUAUUUUGAAAUAUUUGCGUAUUUUACCCAUAACUAUCCACAUUAAUCACAUCAACCCUUACUAUUUCAAAAUAAUAAUUAGAGGAAAUUAAAUUU